GACGAACGCUGGCGGCGUGCCUAAUACAUGCAAGUUGAGCGCUGAAGGUUGGUACUUGUACCAACUGGAUGAGCAGCGAACGGGUGAGUAACGCGUGGGGAAUCUGCCUUUGAGCGGGGGACAACAUUUGGAAACGAAUGCUAAUACCGCAUAAAAACUUUAAACACAAGUUUUAAGUUUGAAAGAUGCAAUUGCAUCACUCAAAGAUGAUCCCGCGUUGUAUUAGCUAGUUGGUGAGGUAAAGGCUCACCAAGGCGAUGAUACAUAGCCGACCUGAGAGGGUGAUCGGCCACAUUGGGACUGGGACACGGCCCAAACUCCUACGGGAGGCAGCAGUAGGGAAUCUUCGGCAAUGGACGAAAGUCUGACCGGGCAACGCCGCGUGAGUGAAGAAGGUUUUCGGAUCGUAAAACUCUGUUGGUAGAGAAGAACGUUGGUGGGAGUGGAAAGCUCAUCAAGUGACGGUAACUACCCAGAAAGGGACGGCUAACUACGUG
This 497-nucleotide ribosomal RNA is filed under the name uncultured bacterium. Its description in RNAcentral is "partial 16S ribosomal RNA". It matches the Rfam family "Bacterial small subunit ribosomal RNA", at positions 28 to 507 of the family's 1533-position model. The record is from RNAcentral.